AUGCGCACCGGUUGACGAACGUGAACAUUGCCGCCUCCCCCUCUGCACACCACCGAGAAACACAGCGCGACUCGUCAGCUCGCCCGCCAUUACACUACCGAAGCUCACUCGCACAAACAAAGAAGAAACCAGGAAGCAUGAAUUUGCCACAAAUCUAUUUACCUCUCCAUGAAAUCAAAAGGAGCACAAUGACGGCGAUACAUCUCGGCAACCCCAUCGGGGAUAGCUGCUGGUAAACGCAAUGCAGAGCUCGGCGGCAAGCGCGUGCAAUGUCAGGACAGAGCAGCGCACCUACUCCUCACUCUCACUCUUCAGCAGCUGGUAAUGGUGUGUGGUAACGUGACAGUUCGUUGAUUUGGAGGAGAUGGAGAAAGACGAGGGCAAUGGGCGCACAGGAAAGAGAGGGGGAAAGGAUAGGGGAGGGGGAAUCUUGAGUGUGGCUCCCGAUGAACGAACUUUACUUUAGCCUUUGUUUGGGUACCCCGGUGGCAUCGAGCAUGGGCACACGUACGGUAAAUUCUAUUCUGCUUGGGAUGGCCCUCGAUACUGCGGCCCCGCCGUGAAAGAUCAUUUUUCUUCAAUGGCCUUCUUUGGAUACUCUAGCUCUUAGAGUUAGAUUUUAAGAGCAAUUUC
Molecule: long non-coding RNA, 633 nt
Filed under: Hordeum vulgare
Lineage: Eukaryota; Viridiplantae; Streptophyta; Magnoliopsida; Poales; Poaceae
Description: long non-coding RNA (HVUL_LNC003346)
Source: RNAcentral